GCCCCGGGCUAAACUCUCGUCUGGCGAAGUGAAGAGCGCAAAGUCUCCAGGCCCAGCGCGCCUUGGCGGGGCAGGCCGGCCACCUUGGCCCCGGGCCAGGCUCGCACUUCUCUGAAGCCCUGGAGCGGGCAAGGGGCACCAUUCUGGCCACAGGAACUCUAGUUUCAGCAGCCGCAGCCCGCCAGCGCUGGCUCGGACCGGGGCCUCCUCUGGGAGAGUAGGAGAGCGAAAAAAUCAACCACCACCUUGGAUUUCAGAUCGAGGAAACGAAGCCAAAGCAAAGGUGUGGUUACACAGGACAUCCAUAGCCACACCGUUGCCUCUCCUAAGUGGGCCUGCGCUUUGCCGCUCCAGAAGCGCGAGGCGCGGUUGGUGCGGUCGCGGGGGCGUGGGAGUCACCGCUCUCCCCGCAGCCCUGGCCACGCUCUCUGCUGUCCUCCCAAGUUUGGGCCAGGGACCACGGCUCACUCCCUAACGCCCUCGCGAGGACGGCUGCCCGUCGGGCCAAGGGCGCCCUGGGCUGGAGGCCGGAGCAAGACGGCCCCGCGGGACUCGGGAGCCUUGGUAAGGCGGAGGCUCAGACCCCGUUCACGAAAACGCCUGGCUCCUCCAGGAUUUGUCAUGUCUUAAGCAGCUCCGAGAAGGCUCCGCUGGCUCUUGGGGAACCCCGCUGUGCGGCUCACCCGCGUUUGUCUCUCUCCAGCUCUCGCCUUCCUCCCCUGGUCCUCCCUUCACCAGAUCCCCUGCCUUGCCCGAGUCCCGGGCCGCCCGGGCGGAGCCCAAUACGCCCGGAGAAGAGCGCCGGAGCCCCCUGCUGGCCGGACGCGGCAGGCGCGGCGGCCUGCUCGGUCCCCUCCGCCCCGCGGGCGCUGCCCAGCCCGGACCCGCCUCCACCCUCCAGCGCCCUGGCGCUGGGGGCGUGCUAAAAGCAACAGAAAACAAAACAAAAACAAACAAAGCGCCAAACCCCACUCUCACCUCGUCUACUGGUCAAAGAUGGAGUCUUACUCUGUUGCCCAGGCUGGACUGAAAAUGGUGCCAUCCUGGCUCACUCCAACCUCCGCUUCCUGGGUCCAAGUGAUUCUGCUGCCUCAGCCUCCUGAGUAGCUGGGAUUACAGGCACAAACCACUACACCAGGGUAAUUUUUGUAUUUUUAAUAGAGACGGGGUUUCACCAUGUUGAUCAGACUAGUCUCAAACUCCUGACCUUGUGAUCUGCACACCUUGGCCUCCCAACCAAGAUUUCUUUAACAUGUCUUUUGUCAAUAACCCUUUCUGCAGUGUCUGCAUGAUUCUCAGUCAACCAAAUUAUUUCUCUCUUAAUUCAGAACAUUAGCCAUUAAGAGCAAUUUGUUAUUUCUUGCCCUUGUUUAUCAUUAAUGGUAUGUAUUUUACCUUUUGCUAAUCUCAUCAUUUCCCUUGACAUAUUUGGGAAAAUGCCCUCAUUCACUUUAUUUCUCUACAAUAAAUCCAUUCUGCCUUACAUAUUUGAUUGUUCUAUUUGUACAUCAUAGUUGAGGUAACCUAUGCUUAGUUAAGUUUCUUCGUUUCUUUAUUUCCAGUAUAGAUGUUUCUUUUCUGGGUGACCAUUUUUGUGUGUGGAAAAAGAAUGGGUUCUUUCUUGCUUUUUUAUUUUUUAAAUCUAUUCUUGAUGGCAUGUACUUAUUUAAAAUAUGCUUUAUAACUUGGAUAUGUGGAUAUCCUUUUUUGUUUUUAAAAAUUGAAGGAUUGUCUGUGUGGCUUCAUAAGUAUUAUUUAUAUUCACGGUUUUAGCAUUCAUUUGUUUGAUUUUGAGCUCUUCUACGAUCCAAAUGCCGCUAGAUAUAUCACAGAUUAACUGAUGGUUAGAACAGCUUUUUGAGAUUUUGAUUAGGAUAACUUUUAAGAGGUUGGUUGUUUUAGAAGGCAGUUAAACAAAAUAAUAAUAGUUUUAUUAACCUUUUAUUACUUAAAAAUAGUCAUUGUAAUGGGUCUUUAACAAAGGGAGAGCAAGUGUUUAACAGAACUCACCUUUCUGACAUAAAACUACCAGAAACCAAUUAUUUUGCAUCAUCAAAGAUCGAAUAAAAGUUACAAAGAAGUACCAUUAAGUAUGGAUUAAUAUUUUUAAGUCAUCUAAGCACUUAUAGCACAAGUAUCAAUUCAGAUUUCACAAAGACAAACCUGCAAUUCUGAUUUUUUAAAAAAUAUAUCAGAGGAAUUUUAAAAUAUAUUUUUAAGUGCAUUGAUCAAAAGUACAAUAGUCUCCUAUAGUAUAACUGUGAUUUAGAAAACAGCCAAGCCCUGAGUUUCUAGCAUGUUUCUGUGAGAUCUGUUUUUCAUCUGUCAUUUAUAUAAAUUAUGCAAAAGUUCACUGUGUCUUUAUUUUAUUUCUUCAUUUUUCUUUGUUGCCAGCAUCAUUGAGACAAAUUCAAAGGUCAUUUAAAAUGACCAAAAUCAAUCUACAGCAAUAUUUAAAUUUUUAUUCCAUGAAAAUGUCUGAAUAAAUCUAUAUUCAUACAAUAUAUUUUAUGGUGUACAAAUAAUAUUCAAUGGGAUCAAUUUAAGUAUGAAUACCAAGGAUUGUAAGAAUCCUUCCUCUUAUUUGGAGAAGAAUUCUAUUUCCCACAACACAGUAAACUAAAGCCUGCAUACUACAAACCUGAAACACGCUAAAUAAAAUUUGACAUCCUAUUAAAUAAAUAUGUGAAGUUGUAAGAAA
Molecule: long non-coding RNA, 2701 nt
Organism: Pongo pygmaeus (Bornean orangutan)
Lineage: Eukaryota; Metazoa; Chordata; Mammalia; Primates; Hominidae
Exons: 2
Source: RefSeq, a predicted model, not a curated record